This 698-nucleotide long non-coding RNA is filed under the name Setaria italica (foxtail millet). RNAcentral's name for it is "long non-coding RNA (SITA_LNC001875)". Lineage: Eukaryota; Viridiplantae; Streptophyta; Magnoliopsida; Poales; Poaceae. The record is from RNAcentral.
ACCGAAACCAGAGCCCAUGCCACAUCCUGAGCCUAAACCUGAACCAAAGCCCAUGCCGGAGCCAAAGCCAAUGCCACAUCCAGAGCCGAAACCUGAGCCCAUGCCUCACCCUGAACCGAAACCUGAGCCAAAGCCCGAACCUAAGCCUGAGCCAAAACCCAUGCCCGAGCCAAAACCUGAACCAAAACCCAUGCCCGAGCCUAAGCCGGAACCUAAGCCUGAGCCAAAACCUGAACCAAAACCUAAGCCUGAGCCAAAACCUGAACCAAAACCUAAGCCUGAGCCAAAACCCAUGCCCGAGCCGAAACCUGAACCAAAACCCAUGCCCGAGCCUAAGCCUGAGCCAACACCCGUGCCCGAGCCAAAGCCGGAACCUAAGCCCGAGCCGAAACCCAUGCCCGAGCCAAAACCCAAGCCCGAGCCAAAGCCGGAACCCAAGCCCGAGCCAAAGCCGGAACCUAAGCCCAAGCCGGAACCCAAGCCCGAGCCAAAGCCGGAACCUAAGCCCGAGCCGAAACCCAAGCCCGAGCCAAAGCCGGAACCCAAGCCCGAGCCAAAGCCCGAACCGAAGCCAAAGCCGAAGCCGGAACCUAAACCCGAGCCCAAGCCUGAACCAGAGCCGAAGCCGUAUCCUAAGCCGGAACCAAAACCCAAGCCAGAACCUAAGCCAGAACCCAAGCCAGAACCUAAGCCCGAAC